UUCUUUUUGAUAUGAUUAUAAGUAAGACCUGCCCAGUGAUAAUAUAAACGGCUUUUAAUGUAGCGUAAUAAUUUGUUUUUUAAAUGAAGUCUGGAUGAAUGGUUACACAUUGAGCAACUAUAUUUUUGGUAUAUUAAGAAUUUGUAUUUUAAAAUAAAAAUAUUUAAAUAUUGUUAAGGGACGAUAAGACCCUAAAAGCUUAAAUUUUAAUAUAUUAUUAAAUUUGUUUAUUAAUAAUAAUUAUAUUUAAAAUUAUUAUUUGGGGUGAAUGUUUUAUUAUAUUUGAUAUUAUACAGAACUUAAGUAAAGGUAAAAUGAUCCUUUAUAUAAGGAUAAUUUGUGAUAGUUACUUUAGGGAUAACAGCACGAUUAUUUUGGUAAGAUCUUAUUUAUGAGAUUAGUUGUGACCUCGAUGUUGAAUUAAAAUUUCUUUUUGGUGUAGAUGCUAAGUGAGUGGGUUUGUUCAACCUUUGAAAUUUU
RNAcentral lists this ribosomal RNA (480 nucleotides) under Nedsia sp. WAM AMPE003. Its description in RNAcentral is "partial large subunit ribosomal RNA". Lineage: Eukaryota; Metazoa; Arthropoda; Malacostraca; Amphipoda; Eriopisidae. The record is from RNAcentral.